GAUGAACGCUGGCGGCGUGCCUAAUACAUGCAAGUCGAGCGAACGGACGAGAAGCUUGCUUCUCUGAUGUUAGCGGCGGACGGGUGAGUAACACGUGGAUAACCUACCUAUAAGACUGGGAUAACUUCGGGAAACCGGAGCUAAUACCGGAUAAUAUUUUACACCGCAUGGUUCAAAAGUGAAAGACGGUCUUGCUGUCACUUAUAGAUGGAUCCGCGCUGCAUUAGCUAGUUGGUAAGGUAACGGCUUACCAAGGCAACGAUGCAUAGCCGACCUGAGAGGGUGAUCGGCCACACUGGAACUGAGACACGGCCCAGACUCCUACGGGAGGCAGCAGUAGGGAAUCUUCCGCAAUGGGCGAAAGCCUGACGGAGCAACGCCGCGUGAGUGAUGAAGGUCUUCGGAUCGUAAAACUCUGUUAUUAGGGAAGAACAUAUGUGUAAGUAACUGUGCACAUCUUGACGGUACCUAAUCAGAAAGCCACGGCUAACUACGUG
RNAcentral lists this ribosomal RNA (497 nucleotides) under uncultured bacterium. Its description in RNAcentral is "partial 16S ribosomal RNA". It matches the Rfam family "Bacterial small subunit ribosomal RNA", at positions 28 to 507 of the family's 1533-position model. The record is from RNAcentral.